Molecule: ribosomal RNA, 998 nt
Filed under: Gammarus cf. balcanicus 1CM13
Lineage: Eukaryota; Metazoa; Arthropoda; Malacostraca; Amphipoda; Gammaridae
Also listed under: 4 other names
Description: partial 18S ribosomal RNA
Rfam family: Eukaryotic small subunit ribosomal RNA
Source: RNAcentral
CACUGCUCUGACGGAUGCUUUUAUUAGACCAAGCCGCUGAGGACUUGAGGGUUCGCUCUCCUGUCUGACUCGUGUAAUGGUGACUCUGGAUAACCAAUUCUGACAAGCGCACGUACUUCUCUUCUGAGCGAGACGGCGCUGCCACUUUCGAGUGUCUGCCUUAUCAGCUAUCAACCGUUCGUUAUGCGCGACCGAUGGCUUUGACGGGUAACGGGGAAUCAGGGUUCGAUUCCGGAGAGGCAGCCUGAGAGACGGCUACCACGUCCAAGGACGGCAGCAGGCACGCAAAUUACCCAAUCCCAGCAAAUGGGGGAGGUAGUGACGAAAUCUAACGAUGCGGGCGCCCUUUCUGGGGCCCCGCAAUCGGAAUGGGCACUUUCUAAACAACCUGUUGAGAACCUACUGAAGGGCAAGUCUGGUGCCAGCAGCCGCGGUAAUUCCAGCUUCAGCAGCAUCUAUUAAAGUUGCUGCGGUUAAAAGGCUCGCAGUUGAAUGUCUGUAUCGAGCGCAGGUCAGGUGGACGUUGGGGCGUGGAAGUACGGGCAGUUGGAUGUCCGUGGGGCCUUCGUGCUCAACGGCUCCUUCGGCUUUUCCACACACCCCCGUCCGUGACAAGCCUCCUCGCUCGGGUACAUAACGGGAAUCGGUCAAACGGAGUGUGGUUGGAGGUUGGGGUGCGUGGCUUCUGUUGCGUGCUUCUUCUUUCGGCUGCGUUAAGCUCCAUCGGUUUCACGGUCACCUUGAGUAAAUCAGAGUGCUCAAAGCAGUCGUAGGGGCCUUGCGCCCUGUGAACAGUCUUGACGGACUGACUUGGUUUUGCAUGGCAUGUCGGAAGACGACGUCGUGUGCUGGCUCAGAGGAUAAAUCAGUGGUACAAGCCAGCCUCGACGUAAUGAUUAAAAGGGACGGUCGAGGGCAUUGGUAUUGCGAGGCGAGAGGUGAAAUUCUGUGACCCCCGCAAGACCUCCUGAAGCGAAAGCGUCUGCCAAGGACGUUUU